GGUAUUUUGACCGUGCAAAGGUAGCAUAAUCAUUAGUUUUUUAAUUGAAAGCUGGAAUGAAAGGUUGGAUGAGAAAAAAGCUGUCUCUAUUUAAUUUAUUUAGAAUUUUAUUUUUAAGUUAAAAAGCUUAAAUUUAAAUAGAAGACGAGAAGACCCUAUAGAGUUUUAUUAAUUUUUUUUAUAAAAUUAAUAGUAUUUUUUAUUUUUAUAAAAAUAAUUAAUUUAGUUGGGGUGAUUGAAAAAUUAAAUAAACUUUUUUUUUAUAUACACAUAUAUAUAUGAUUAAUUGAUCCUUAAUUUAAGAUUAAAAGAUAAAAUUACCUUAGGGAUAACAGCGUAAUUUUUUUUGAGAGUUCAAAUCGAAAAAAAAGAUUGCGACCUCGAUGUUGGAUUAAAAUAAAAUUUUGGUGUAGAAGCUAAAG
Molecule: ribosomal RNA, 422 nt
Filed under: Laparocerus chaoensis cevadae
Lineage: Eukaryota; Metazoa; Arthropoda; Insecta; Coleoptera; Curculionidae
Description: partial 16S ribosomal RNA
Source: RNAcentral